Molecule: long non-coding RNA, 821 nt
Organism: Oncorhynchus keta (chum salmon)
Lineage: Eukaryota; Metazoa; Chordata; Actinopteri; Salmoniformes; Salmonidae
Exons: 3
Source: RefSeq, a predicted model, not a curated record
GGACAUUAGACAACACUCUCUGAGCCAGACCAACAUGGAGGAGGACAUUAGACAACAGUAGUCGUUCUCUGAGCCAGACCAACAUGAAGGAGGACAUUAGACAACACUCUCUGAGCCAGACCAACAUGAAAGAGGACAUUAGACAACACUCUCUGAGCCAGACCAACAUGAAGGAGGACAUUAGACAACACUCUCUGAGCCAGACCAACAGAAGGAUGACAUUAGACAACAGUAGUCGUUCUCUGAGCCAGACCUACAUGAACAGACAAAGCUGUGUGUCUUAAAAUAUAUAUCAUAUACUGGCAAUUAAAGUGUGUUCAUUCUCUACACACAAGAACCCGGGGUUCCCCAAACAGGCUUAGACAAGUUCUGCCCUAACCCGGGUUCCCCAAACAGGCUUAUACAAGUUCUGCCCCCAACCCAGGGUUCCCCAAACAGGCUUAGACAAGUUCUACAUGACUCACGGGACUUGGCAUCUACAGAAGAGACCGUCUGAAAACAACACUGUUCUCUGUCUGCGGGUACAUGUUCAGUAACUAGUACAUGUUCAGUAACUAGUACAUAUUCAGUAACUAGUACAUGUUCAGUAACUAGUACAUGUUCAGUAACUAGUACAUGUUCAGUAACUAGCACAUGUUCAGUAACUAGCACAUGUUCAGUAACUAGCACAUGUUCAGUAACUAGCACAUGUUCAGUAACUAGCACAUGUUCAGUAACUAGCACAUGUUUAGUAACUAGUCCAUGUUCAGUAACUAGUACAUGUUCAGUAACUAGUACAUGUUCAGUAACUAGUACAUGUUCAGUAACUAGCACAUGUUCAG